Molecule: ribosomal RNA, 599 nt
Filed under: Klebsiella variicola
Lineage: Bacteria; Pseudomonadati; Pseudomonadota; Gammaproteobacteria; Enterobacterales; Enterobacteriaceae
Description: partial 23S ribosomal RNA
Rfam family: Bacterial large subunit ribosomal RNA
Source: RNAcentral
GGGUUGUGAGGUUAAGCGACUAAGCGUACACGGUGGAUGCCCUGGCAGUCAGAGGCGAUGAAGGACGUGCUAAUCUGCGAAAAGCGUCGGUAAGGUGAUAUGAACCGUUAUAACCGGCGAUGUCCGAAUGGGGAAACCCAGUGCAAUUCGUUGCACUAUCGUUAACUGAAUACAUAGGUUAACGAGGCGAACCGGGGGAACUGAAACAUCUAAGUACCCCGAGGAAAAGAAAUCAACCGAGAUUCCCCCAGUAGCGGCGAGCGAACGGGGAGCAGCCCAGAGUCUGAAUCAGCUUGUGUGUUAGUGGAACGGUCUGGAAAGUCCGACGGUACAGGGUGAUAGUCCCGUACACCAAAAUGCACAGGCUGUGAACUCGAAGAGUAGGGCGGGACACGUGGUAUCCUGUCUGAAUAUGGGGGGACCAUCCUCCAAGGCUAAAUACUCCUGACUGACCGAUAGUGAACCAGUACCGUGAGGGAAAGGCGAAAAGAACCCCGGCGAGGGGAGUGAAAAAGAACCUGAAACCGUGUACGUACAAGCAGUGGGAGCACCUUCGGGUGUGACUGCGUACCUUUUGUAUAAUGGGUCAGCGACUUAUA